GAUGAAGAACGCAGCGAAAUGCGAUAAGUAAUGUGAAUUGCAGAAUUCAGUGAAUCAUCGAAUCUUUGAACGCACAUUGCGCCCGCCAGUAUUCUGGCGGGCAUGCCUGUUCGAGCGUCAUUACAACCCUCAGGCCCCCGGGCCUGGCGUUGGGGAUCGGCGGAAGCCCCCUGCGGGCACAACGCCGUCCCCCAAAUACAGUGGCGGCCCCGCCGCAGCUUCCAUUGCGUAGUAGCUAACACCUCGCAACUGGAGAGCGGCGCGGCCACGCCGUAAAACACCCAACUUCUGAAUGUUGACCUCGAAUCAGGUAGGAAUACCCGCUGAACUUAAGCAUAUCAAUAAGCGGAGGA
RNAcentral lists this unclassified non-coding RNA (353 nucleotides) under soil metagenome. RNAcentral describes it as "partial contains 5.8S ribosomal RNA, internal transcribed spacer 2, and large subunit ribosomal RNA". The stretch from base 1 to 120 matches the Rfam family "5.8S ribosomal RNA", at positions 35 to 154 of the family's 154-position model. The record is from RNAcentral.